Molecule: non-coding RNA, 296 nt
Organism: Camellia sinensis
Lineage: Eukaryota; Viridiplantae; Streptophyta; Magnoliopsida; Ericales; Theaceae
Source: RefSeq, a predicted model, not a curated record
GCUUCACGAUGCGUAAAAAAUUCUCUCUCUAUAUGUCAAGCUCCAUCGCAAGCUUCAUUGUAGGUCUUCGCUCUGUCCAUCUCGAGCUCCAUUGCAGAUCAGUUUGAGAUCUACAAGCUUCAGUAGAUCUACCUUGUUCUUCACAUUUUCUGUAGAUUUGAUUUCUGCUACUUUGAAGACAUCGAUUGGUUAAUUCACUCUCUAUCAAGCUAAGAGGUUGCCUAGAACUCAGCCUGCUCAGAAUCCUGCAAGGAUGGUUCUUGUGGACAGACCAACAGAAGGAUCCCGAUCUGCAC